GCCUUAGCUCAGCUGGGAGAGCGCCUGCUUUGCACGCAGGAGGUCAUCGGUUCGAUCCCGAUAGGCUCCACCA
This 73-nucleotide transfer RNA is filed under the name Parageobacillus yumthangensis. RNAcentral's name for it is "Geobacillus yumthangensis tRNA-Ala". It matches the Rfam family "tRNA". Rfam says of the family: Transfer RNA (tRNA) molecules are approximately 80 nucleotides in length. Their secondary structure includes four short double-helical elements and three loops (D, anti-codon, and T loops). The record is from RNAcentral. Lineage: Bacteria; Bacillati; Bacillota; Bacilli; Caryophanales; Anoxybacillaceae.